Molecule: long non-coding RNA, 319 nt
Filed under: Helianthus annuus (common sunflower)
Lineage: Eukaryota; Viridiplantae; Streptophyta; Magnoliopsida; Asterales; Asteraceae
Description: sRNA HanXRQr2_Chr15g0699561
Source: RNAcentral
AUGUCUAAUCAGGUGGAUACUCCGUGCCUCGAAACAACUUCUUUAAGAUAGACGUCUGCGAGAGUGGAGAACUUGUCCGUUUCCUUAAUCGGCAGGAAGUGUGCAGACUUGGUGAGUCGAUCAACUAUGACCCAUAUUGUAUCGUUCCCACGCUGAGAUCUAGGUAAGCCUGUAACAAAAUCCAUGGAAAUUUCUUCCCAUUUCCAUUGAGGUAUCUUAGGCUGCUGAAGUAGACCAGCUGGUUUCUGGUAUUCAACCUUGACUCUCGCACAGGUCAAACAUUUUCCAACGUACGUAGCGAUGUGGGCCUUCAUGCUAG